UGAAGAGAAGUUCAGAGGGUUUUUUCCCAUGAAUAGAUGGCAGGCACCUGGGAGUUAUGAAUUUUAAAGUGAUCAUUUUCUUUCAGCCAUGCCGGACAAUGGGCAUCUCCUUUUGACUCACUUUCACAGCUUUGAGAGGCUCUCAGAUCAGCCACAUUCCAAUCGGACUGGAGUCAGAUCAGAGCUGUGCUGGACCGCAUCAAGGUCUCACACAGAAAGACAAGGAGCAGAUGGCCGGCACCAAUCUCUCCUCCCCCUUUCAGCGCGCAAAGGCAAGCAAUGUGGGAAAGCGUUCGCCCGGCAUUGCCUAUUGAUCCCUGAAUAGAACCACCGCAUGCCACCAGCCUGUAGGUAAAAUAUACUCAACAAGCUAUUGUGGAUUGCUUGGGAUUAACAGCCAAAUGAAAAGAAGUUACCAAGUUGCAGAUGCUACCAUGAUGCCAACGUGACUUCCCUGGGUAGAAGGCCUCACCAAUGUGUUCUGGAACUCCACCUCCCAGAAAGAGCCCUUUCUCUUAAAAGAAACAGGCUGGGGAUAUGGAUUAACCUAUCAAUGUCCAUGUCCAGUGGAGAAACAACUACAGAAGCCAGACCUCCCACCUUCUGCACCCCAUAAAGAUCAUUGGUUCAUACUCCCAGAAGGAUAAACGGAAUCUUCCAAUGGAGGGGAUGGGAUAUAGAACUCUGGUGGUGGGAAUUAUACCCCUCUUACCCCACUAUCUUGUCAAUCAUUACUAAAUUACUAAUAAAAUAAAUUUAAAAAUUAA
This is a long non-coding RNA of Erinaceus europaeus (western European hedgehog), 767 nucleotides long. RefSeq lists it as uncharacterized. NCBI's taxonomy places the organism in Eukaryota, Metazoa, Chordata, Mammalia, Eulipotyphla, Erinaceidae. The record is from RefSeq and is a predicted model, not a curated record. The transcript is spliced from 3 exons.